This 263-nucleotide ribosomal RNA is filed under the name uncultured bacterium. RNAcentral describes it as "partial 16S ribosomal RNA". It matches the Rfam family "Bacterial small subunit ribosomal RNA", at positions 793 to 1055 of the family's 1533-position model. The record is from RNAcentral.
GUCCACGCCGUAAACGAUGGGUGCUAGGUGUGGGAGGUGUCAACUCCUUCCGUGCCGUAGCUAACGCAUUAAGCACCCCGCCUGGGGAGUACGGCCGCAAGGCUAAAACUCAAAGGAAUUGACGGGGCCCCGCACAAGCAGCGGAGCAUGUGGUUUAAUUCGAUGCAACGCGAAGAACCUUACCAGGGCUUGACAUGCACUGGAAAUCCGUAGAAAUACGGCCCUCCUUCGGGACCAGUGCACAGGUGGUGCAUGGCUGUCGU